GUCCAGGGUAGCCUAGUGGACAUGGCAUCUGCCCGGUAAGCGGAACACUGUGGGUUCGAUUCCCAACCUUGGACA
This 75-nucleotide transfer RNA is filed under the name Cordylochernes scorpioides. RNAcentral's name for it is "tRNA-Thr". It matches the Rfam family "tRNA". Rfam says of the family: Transfer RNA (tRNA) molecules are approximately 80 nucleotides in length. Their secondary structure includes four short double-helical elements and three loops (D, anti-codon, and T loops). The record is from RNAcentral. Lineage: Eukaryota; Metazoa; Arthropoda; Arachnida; Pseudoscorpiones; Chernetidae.